This 417-nucleotide ribosomal RNA is filed under the name uncultured bacterium. Its description in RNAcentral is "bacterial SSU rRNA". It matches the Rfam family "Bacterial small subunit ribosomal RNA", at positions 29 to 489 of the family's 1533-position model. The record is from RNAcentral.
AGCGAACGCUGGCGGCAGGCCUAACACAUGCAAGUCGAACGGGCGUAGCAAUACGUCAGUGGCAGACGGGUGAGUAACGCGUGGGAACGUACCUUUUGGUUCGGAACAACCCAGGGAAACUUGGGCUAAUACCGGAUAAGCCCUUACGGGGAAAGAUUUAUCGCCGAAAGAUCGGCCCGCGUCUGAUUAGCUAGUUGGUGUGGUAACGGCGCACCAAGGCGACGAUCAGUAGCUGGUCUGAGAGGAUGAUCAGCCACAUUGGGACUGAGACACGGCCCAAACUCCUACGGGAGGCAGCAGUGGGGAAUAUUGGACAAUGGGCGCAAGCCUGAUCCAGCCAUGCCGCGUGAGUGAUGAAGGCCCUAGGGUUGUAAAGCUCUUUUGUGCGGGAAGAUAAUGACGGUACCGCAAGAAUAA